Caretta caretta (loggerhead turtle) is the source of this 722-nucleotide non-coding RNA. NCBI's taxonomy places the organism in Eukaryota, Metazoa, Chordata, Testudines, Cheloniidae. The record is from RefSeq and is a predicted model, not a curated record.
GGGCACGUAACUGUAGCGGGCAGAGUUUCUCCUUACUGAAUCAGUUCGCUCACUCCCAUUUCAUCCAUGGACUCCAGCCUGCGGCCUGCAGGACUUCCCAGCAAAUCACCAGCACCCAUGGGGAUGUGGCAGUGAAGAAAAGAACUGGAAAGAAACCACACUGUGCUCCAGUAACACUAGCUGCUUGGUGGGACCUGCUGUCUCUCCAAGCCAGUGAGCUCCAUGUCCAGGCAGGAAUGUUUGUGCCCAAGCCACCCGCUCUUGGGAAAGCCUCCUGCUGCACCCCGAGGCGCAAAGGGCAGAGUUAAGAAGGAAGCCACAGCCCCAUCUAAUGGCCUGCAAACUCAUCGCUAAGCUCCAAGUGUGAGUAAAGGGUGACAUCCCAUUGGGUGGCUGUGCAACACCGCUGUUCGGGGUCCUCUUGCAUGUCUGUGUGGCCAGAUUGCCGACACCCAAACCCUAGCUGUACAAAAUGUAUCCUGAAAAUGCAUUGCCAACUCCACCAGGAGAGCAAAUGGAGCCAGAACUUCAAUGGGAGCGGGAGCAGACCUGUGGAAGUGGGUAUGAAGUCUCUGAACUUACUUCUAGAUUAAUGCCGUAGUUCUCGCUGAUGAAAACUAACCAUAAAGCACAAAAGCGGCUCCAUCCAUCCAUCCCAGCUGAUCUGACGUACUGCUGGAGAGGAGUGAUCCUGAAGGACUUCAUUAAUGGCAUGAGGCAAU